GAUGAACGCUGGCGGCGUGCCUAACACAUGCAAGUCGAGCGAACCCUUCGGGGUGAGCGGCGGACGGGUGAGUAACUCGUGGGUAACCUGCCCUGUACACACGGAUAACAUACCGAAAGGUAUGCUAAUACGGGAUAAAGUAUGAGAGUCGCAUGGCUUUUGUAUCAAAGCUCCGGCGGUACAGGAUGGACCCGCGUCUGAUUAGCUAGUUGGUAAGGUAACGGCUUACCAAGGCAACGAUCAGUAGCCGACCUGAGAGGGUGAUCGGCCACAUUGGAACUGAGACACGGUCCAAACUCCUACGGGAGGCAGCAGUGGGGAAUAUUGCACAAUGGGCGAAAGCCUGAUGCAGCAACGCCGCGUGAGCGAUGAAGGCCUUCGGGUCGUAAAGCUCUGUCCUCAAGGAAGAUAAUGACGGUACUUGAGGAGGAAGCCCCGGCUAACUACGUGCCAGCAGCCGCGGUAAUACGUAGGGGGCUAGCGUUAUCCGGAAUUACUGGGCGUAAAGGGUGCGUAGGCGGUCUUUCAAGCCAGAAGUGAAAGGCUACGGCUCAACCGUAGUAAGCUUUUGGAACUGUAGGACUUGAGUGCAGGAGAGGAGAGUGGAAUUCCUAGUGUAGCGGUGAAAUGCGUAGAUAUUAGGAGGAACACCAGUAGCGAAGGCGGCUCUCUGG
RNAcentral lists this ribosomal RNA (674 nucleotides) under uncultured Clostridium sp. RNAcentral describes it as "bacterial SSU rRNA". It matches the Rfam family "Bacterial small subunit ribosomal RNA", at positions 28 to 732 of the family's 1533-position model. Lineage: Bacteria; Bacillati; Bacillota; Clostridia; Eubacteriales; Clostridiaceae. The record is from RNAcentral.